RNAcentral lists this long non-coding RNA (409 nucleotides) under Helianthus annuus (common sunflower). RNAcentral's name for it is "sRNA HanXRQr2_Chr06g0259671". The record is from RNAcentral. Lineage: Eukaryota; Viridiplantae; Streptophyta; Magnoliopsida; Asterales; Asteraceae.
UUAUAUUUCAACACUCCUAAAUCUGGAUCCGAUCUAAGGUUUCAACCCAAAUCUAGAAAAUUUUUUGAAGGUGUGAUUAGGGCUUCGAAGGUGCGAUUUGGUUCAAGAAGGUGUAGCGGUGGUGGGGGUGGUUGAGGCAGUGGGUUCGUGGUGCUUGUGGGGUGGGUUCGUGGUGGCAGUGGAGGUGGUUGUGCCGUUGGAUUGGUGGUGGCGUUGUGGGGCGGUGUGUCGUUGGGUUUGUGGGGGUGGUUGUUGCGGUGGGUUAGUGGUGGCUGUUAGAGUUGGCUGUGGUGAUGAUGAUGUGGUUUAGUCUAAGAUAAUGAUGAUAGUGAGAGAGUGUGUGAGUAUGUGUAGAGUGUGUGUGUAUAUAUAUAUAUAUAUCUGAAUAAAAGAAAAAAAAUAUGUUUUU